AAGUCGUGCAUUGGACACUUUAGCAACAAGUCCUUAAAAUGCUCCCAAACUUUAUAUAAAUUUUCGUCCUCUAAUUGUUUGAAGGAGGUUAUGUCGUUCCUCAGCCU
This is a small nucleolar RNA of Hibiscus syriacus, 107 nucleotides long. NCBI's taxonomy places the organism in Eukaryota, Viridiplantae, Streptophyta, Magnoliopsida, Malvales, Malvaceae. The record is from RefSeq and is a predicted model, not a curated record.